GCAUCGGUGGUUCAGUGGUAGAAUGCUCGCCUGCGGGCGGCCCGGGUUCAAUUCACGGCCGAUGCA
RNAcentral lists this transfer RNA (66 nucleotides) under Cordylochernes scorpioides. RNAcentral describes it as "tRNA-OTHER". It matches the Rfam family "tRNA". Rfam says of the family: Transfer RNA (tRNA) molecules are approximately 80 nucleotides in length. Lineage: Eukaryota; Metazoa; Arthropoda; Arachnida; Pseudoscorpiones; Chernetidae. The record is from RNAcentral.